RNAcentral lists this ribosomal RNA (1294 nucleotides) under Salmonella enterica. Its description in RNAcentral is "partial 23S ribosomal RNA". It matches the Rfam family "Bacterial large subunit ribosomal RNA", at positions 1579 to 2849 of the family's 2925-position model. Lineage: Bacteria; Pseudomonadati; Pseudomonadota; Gammaproteobacteria; Enterobacterales; Enterobacteriaceae. The record is from RNAcentral.
ACGGUGCUGAAGCAACAAAUGCCCUGCUUCCAGGAAAAGCCUCUAAGCAUCAGGUAACAUCAAAUCGUACCCCAAACCGACACAGGUGGUCAGGUAGAGAAUACCAAGGCGCUUGAGAGAACUCGGGUGAAGGAACUAGGCAAAAUGGUGCCGUAACUUCGGGAGAAGGCACGCUGACACGUAGGUGAAGUGAUUUACUCAUGGAGCUGAAGUCAGUCGAAGAUACCAGCUGGCUGCAACUGUUUAUUAAAAACACAGCACUGUGCAAACACGAAAGUGGACGUAUACGGUGUGACGCCUGCCCGGUGCCGGAAGGUUAAUUGAUGGGGUCAGCGCAAGCGAAGCUCCUGAUCGAAGCCCCGGUAAACGGCGGCCGUAACUAUAACGGUCCUAAGGUAGCGAAAUUCCUUGUCGGGUAAGUUCCGACCUGCACGAAUGGCGUAAUGAUGGCCAGGCUGUCUCCACCCGAGACUCAGUGAAAUUGAACUCGCUGUGAAGAUGCAGUGUACCCGCGGCAAGACGGAAAGACCCCGUGAACCUUUACUAUAGCUUGACACUGAACAUUGAGCCUUGAUGUGUAGGAUAGGUGGGAGGCUUUGAAGUGUGGACGCCAGUCUGCAUGGAGCCGACCUUGAAAUACCACCCUUUAAUGUUUGAUGUUCUAACGUGGACCCGUAAUCCGGGUUGCGGACAGUGUCUGGUGGGUAGUUUGACUGGGGCGGUCUCCUCCUAAAGAGUAACGGAGGAGCACGAAGGUUGGCUAAUCCUGGUCGGACAUCAGGAGGUUAGUGCAAUGGCAUAAGCCAGCUUGACUGCGAGCGUGACGGCGCGAGCAGGUGCGAAAGCAGGUCAUAGUGAUCCGGUGGUUCUGAAUGGAAGGGCCAUCGCUCAACGGAUAAAAGGUACUCCGGGGAUAACAGGCUGAUACCGCCCAAGAGUUCAUAUCGACGGCGGUGUUUGGCACCUCGAUGUCGGCUCAUCACAUCCUGGGGCUGAAGUAGGUCCCAAGGGUAUGGCUGUUCGCCAUUUAAAGUGGUACGCGAGCUGGGUUUAGAACGUCGUGAGACAGUUCGGUCCCUAUCUGCCGUGGGCGCUGGAGAACUGAGGGGGGCUGCUCCUAGUACGAGAGGACCGGAGUGGACGCAUCACUGGUGUUCGGGUUGUCAUGCCAAUGGCACUGCCCGGUAGCUAAAUGCGGAAGAGAUAAGUGCUGAAAGCAUCUAAGCACGAAACUUGCCCCGAGAUGAGUUCUCCCUGAGACUUAGAGUCUCCUGAAGGAACGUUGAAGACGACG